This 497-nucleotide ribosomal RNA is filed under the name uncultured bacterium. Its description in RNAcentral is "partial 16S ribosomal RNA". It matches the Rfam family "Bacterial small subunit ribosomal RNA", at positions 28 to 507 of the family's 1533-position model. The record is from RNAcentral.
GAUGAACGCUGGCGGCGUGCCUAAUACAUGCAAGUCGAGCGAACAGACGAGGAGCUUGCUCCUCUGACGUUAGCGGCGGACGGGUGAGUAACACGUGGAUAACCUACCUAUAAGACUGGGAUAACUUCGGGAAACCGGAGCUAAUACCGGAUAAUAUAUUGAACCGCAUGGUUCAAUAGUGAAAGACGGUUUUGCUGUCACUUAUAGAUGGAUCCGCGCCGCAUUAGCUAGUUGGUAAGGUAACGGCUUACCAAGGCGACGAUGCGUAGCCGACCUGAGAGGGUGAUAGGCCACACUGGAACUGAGACACGGUCCAGACGCCUACGGGAGGCAGCAGUAGGGAAUCUUCCGCAAUGGGCGAAAGCCUGACGGAGCAACGCCGCGUGAGUGAUGAAGGUCUUCGGAUCGUAAAACUCUGUUAUUAGGGAAGAACAAAUGUGUAAGUAACUAUGCACGUCUUGACGGUACCUAAUCAGAAAGCCACGGCUAACUACGUG